RNAcentral lists this long non-coding RNA (736 nucleotides) under Carica papaya (papaya). Its description in RNAcentral is "long non-coding RNA (CPAP_LNC003584)". The record is from RNAcentral. Lineage: Eukaryota; Viridiplantae; Streptophyta; Magnoliopsida; Brassicales; Caricaceae.
ACAUAUAAACAGAUGGUUAAGAAAAAUAAUAAAAUAAUCAGAAUUUACAUGCUGAGUGGCUGGCUUUUCCGCCUAAGAUCAGAACCUUUGUCAUGACAGGCGUUCCUGCAAGAUAAUCAGAAUCUACACUCUGUUAAAUUACCAUGCAUAGAAAGGCAAUUGUUCUGAAGUCCUCCCCCCUCAGCCCCCCAAAAAAUGAUCGAACUAUCUUGAACAAAAUCCAGCAAGUAGCAAAAUAAUAUGGGCCUACAAGAAAAAUUAAAAACAAGUAAAAUUUCCAUGCCUUUUGUUGAGACUUUUCCUCGCAACUGAUUUUGGCGGAUCAAAAUUUGGGGUUUCAACUACAACAUUUUUGCUGACUAGCUUGACAGUCACCGAUUUUGGUUUUGGCGGAUCAAAAUUUGUCGUUGUUGAUUCACAGUCCCAAAUAGUUUUCCUCGAAUAAACUUAUUGAAAAUUCUAGCAGAUGAACCAUAAGUCAGUAAAAAGAUAUUAAAAGAGAGAGUAUUAUACUAUUAUUAUUGAUAAAUUUCUAAAUUAAAAAAAAAAAAAAGUAUGGAGAGAAAGAAGAAAGAGAUGAUACAAAAAUUCUAAAUUCGUGCAGCUUUGUUAUUUGCAGAGGAGACAGAGAAGUGUAAUUUGCCCUUAUGAGCACCUCAAAUAAUAUUUUCUUGUUCUUUCCUUAUAAGAAAACAGACAAAGAAAUUAUAUCUUCAAAUCAAUUGUAGAAAUAUCA